UUGAAGCUGGAGCUUGCUCCGGCCGAUUUAGUGGCGGACGGGUGAGUAACGCGUGGGUAACCUGCCUCAUACAGGGGGAUAGCAGUUGGAAACGACUGGUAAAACCGCAUAAGCGCACGGUAUCGCAUGAUACAGUGUGAAAACACUCCGGUGGUACAGGAUGGACCCGCGUCUGAUUAGCUGGUUGGUGAGGUAACGGCCCACCAAGGCAACGAUCAGUAGCCGGCCUGAGAGGGUGAACGGCCACAUUGGGACUGAGACACGGCCCAAACUCC
Molecule: ribosomal RNA, 275 nt
Filed under: uncultured Coprococcus sp.
Lineage: Bacteria; Bacillati; Bacillota; Clostridia; Lachnospirales; Lachnospiraceae
Description: partial 16S ribosomal RNA
Rfam family: Bacterial small subunit ribosomal RNA
Source: RNAcentral